Molecule: transfer RNA, 75 nt
Filed under: Albidovulum sp.
Lineage: Bacteria; Pseudomonadati; Pseudomonadota; Alphaproteobacteria; Rhodobacterales; Paracoccaceae
Description: tRNA-Ala
Rfam family: tRNA
About the family: Transfer RNA (tRNA) molecules are approximately 80 nucleotides in length. Their secondary structure includes four short double-helical elements and three loops (D, anti-codon, and T loops). Further hydrogen bonds mediate the characteristic L-shaped molecular structure. tRNAs have two regions of fundamental functional importance: the anti-codon, which is responsible for specific mRNA codon recognition, and the 3' end, to which the tRNAs corresponding amino acid is attached (by aminoacyl-tRNA synthetases). tRNAs cope with the degeneracy of the genetic code in two manners: having more than one tRNA (with a specific anti-codon) for a particular amino acid; and 'wobble' base-pairing, i.e. permitting non-standard base-pairing at the 3rd anti-codon position.
Source: RNAcentral
GACCUGGUGGCCGAGUGGCUAGGCGAGGUCCUUGCAAGUUCCUUCACGCCGGUUCGAAUCCGGCCCAGGUCUCCA